AACGAACGCUGGCGGCAGGCCUAACACAUGCAAGUCGAACGAAGUCUUCGGACUUAGUGGCGCACGGGUGAGUAACACGUGGGAAUAUACCUUACGCUGGGGGAUAACAUCGGGAAACUGAUGCUAAUACCGCAUACGCCCUUCGGGGGAAAGAUUUAUCGGCGAAAGAUUAGCCCGCGUCCGAUUAGCUAGUUGGUGAGGUAAUGGCUCACCAAGGCUCCGAUCGGUAGCUGGUCUGAGAGGAUGACCAGCCACACUGAGACUGAGACACGGCCCAGACUCCUACGGGAGGCAGCAGUGGGGAAUAUUGGACAAUGGGCGCAAGCCUGAUCCAGCCAUGCCGCGUGAGUGAUGAAGGCCUUAGGGUUGUAAAGCUCUUUCACCCACGACGAUGAUGACGGUAGUGGGAGAAGAAGCCCCGGCUAACUUCGUG
This 433-nucleotide ribosomal RNA is filed under the name uncultured bacterium. RNAcentral's name for it is "partial 16S ribosomal RNA". It matches the Rfam family "Bacterial small subunit ribosomal RNA", at positions 29 to 507 of the family's 1533-position model. The record is from RNAcentral.